RNAcentral lists this ribosomal RNA (378 nucleotides) under uncultured organism. Its description in RNAcentral is "partial 16S ribosomal RNA". It matches the Rfam family "Bacterial small subunit ribosomal RNA", at positions 523 to 896 of the family's 1533-position model. The record is from RNAcentral.
GGGGGGGGGGGGCAAGCGUUGUUCGGAUUUACUGGGCGUAAAGGGCUCGUAGGCGGGCCAUCUAAGUCGGGUUGUGAAAUCCCUCGGGCUCAACCGGGGAACUGCGACCGAGACUGAAUGGCUUGAAGCCGGGAGAGGGAUGCGGAAUUCCAGGUGUAGCGGUGAAAUGCGUAGAUAUCUGGAGGAACACCCGUGGCGAAGGCGGCAUCCUGGACCGGUCUUGACGCUGAGGAGCGAAAGCUAGGGUAGCAAACGGGAUUAGAUACCCCGGUAGUCCUAGCCGUAAACGAUGAAUGCUUGGUGUGGCGGGUAUCGAUCCCUGCCGUGCCGUAGCUAACGCGUUAAGCAUUCCGCCUGGGGAGUACGGUCGCAAGGCUG